RNAcentral lists this ribosomal RNA (253 nucleotides) under uncultured bacterium. Its description in RNAcentral is "partial 16S ribosomal RNA". It matches the Rfam family "Bacterial small subunit ribosomal RNA", at positions 524 to 776 of the family's 1533-position model. The record is from RNAcentral.
UACGUAGGGUGCAAGCGUUAUUCGGAAUUACUGGGCUUAAAGGGUGCGUAGGCGGUGCGGAAAGUUGGGUGUGAAAUCCCUCGGCUCAACCGAGGAACUGCGCCCAAAACUACCGUACUCGAGGAAGAUAGAGGUGAGCGGAACUUACGGUGGAGCGGUGAAAUGCGUUGAUAUCGUAAGGAACACCCGUGGCGAAAGCGGCUCACUGGGUCUUUUCUGACGCUGAUGCACGAAAGCUAGGGGAGCAAACGGG